Molecule: ribosomal RNA, 2931 nt
Filed under: Escherichia coli
Lineage: Bacteria; Pseudomonadati; Pseudomonadota; Gammaproteobacteria; Enterobacterales; Enterobacteriaceae
Description: 23S ribosomal RNA
Rfam family: Bacterial large subunit ribosomal RNA
Source: RNAcentral
GGGUUGUGAGGUUAAGCGACUAAGCGUACACGGUGGAUGCCCUGGCAGUCAGAGGCGAUGAAGGACGUGCUAAUCUGCGAUAAGCGUCGGUAAGGUGAUAUGAACCGUUAUAACCGGCGAUUUCCGAAUGGGGAAACCCAGUGUGUUUCGACACACUAUCAUUAACUGAAUCCAUAGGUUAAUGAGGCGAACCGGGGGAACUGAAACAUCUAAGUACCCCGAGGAAAAGAAAUCAACCGAGAUUCCCCCAGUAGCGGCGAGCGAACGGGGAGCAGCCCAGAGUCUGAAUCAGUGUGUGUGUUAGUGGAAGCGUCUGGAAAGGCGCGCGAUACAGGGUGACAGCCCCGUACACAAAAAUGCACAUGCUGUGAGCUCGAUGAGUAGGGCGGGACACGUGGUAUCCUGUCUGAAUAUGGGGGGACCAUCCUCCAAGGCUAAAUACUCCUGACUGACCGAUAGUGAACCAGUACCGUGAGGGAAAGGCGAAAAGAACCCCGGCGAGGGGAGUGAAAAAGAACCUGAAACCGUGUACGUACAAGCAGUGGGAGCCUCUUUAUGGGGUGACUGCGUACCUUUUGUAUAAUGGGUCAGCGACUUAUAUUCUGUAGCAAGGUUAACCGAAUAGGGGAGCCGAAGGGAAACCGAGUCUUAACUGGGCGUUAAGUUGCAGGGUAUAGACCCGAAACCCGGUGAUCUAGCCAUGGGCAGGUUGAAGGUUGGGUAACACUAACUGGAGGACCGAACCGACUAAUGUUGAAAAAUUAGCGGAUGACUUGUGGCUGGGGGUGAAAGGCCAAUCAAACCGGGAGAUAGCUGGUUCUCCCCGAAAGCUAUUUAGGUAGCGCCUCGUGAAUUCAUCUCCGGGGGUAGAGCACUGUUUCGGCAAGGGGGUCAUCCCGACUUACCAACCCGAUGCAAACUGCGAAUACCGGAGAAUGUUAUCACGGGAGACACACGGCGGGUGCUAACGUCCGUCGUGAAGAGGGAAACAACCCAGACCGCCAGCUAAGGUCCCAAAGUCAUGGUUAAGUGGGAAACGAUGUGGGAAGGCCCAGACAGCCAGGAUGUUGGCUUAGAAGCAGCCAUCAUUUAAAGAAAGCGUAAUAGCUCACUGGUCGAGUCGGCCUGCGCGGAAGAUGUAACGGGGCUAAACCAUGCACCGAAGCUGCGGCAGCGACGCUUAUGCGUUGUUGGGUAGGGGAGCGUUCUGUAAGCCUGUGAAGGUGUACUGUGAGGUAUGCUGGAGGUAUCAGAAGUGCGAAUGCUGACAUAAGUAACGAUAAAGCGGGUGAAAAGCCCGCUCGCCGGAAGACCAAGGGUUCCUGUCCAACGUUAAUCGGGGCAGGGUGAGUCGACCCCUAAGGCGAGGCCGAAAGGCGUAGUCGAUGGGAAACAGGUUAAUAUUCCUGUACUUGGUGUUACUGCGAAGGGGGGACGGAGAAGGCUAUGUUGGCCGGGCGACGGUUGUCCCGGUUUAAGCGUGUAGGCUGGUUUUCCAGGCAAAUCCGGAAAAUCAAGGCUGAGGCGUGAUGACGAGGCACUACGGUGCUGAAGCAACAAAUGCCCUGCUUCCAGGAAAAGCCUCUAAGCAUCAGGUAACAUCAAAUCGUACCCCAAACCGACACAGGUGGUCAGGUAGAGAAUACCAAGGCGCUUGAGAGAACUCGGGUGAAGGAACUAGGCAAAAUGGUGCCGUAACUUCGGGAGAAGGCACGCUGAUAUGUAGGUGAAGUCCCUCGCGGAUGGAGCUGAAAUCAGUCGAAGAUACCAGCUGGCUGCAACUGUUUAUUAAAAACACAGCACUGUGCAAACACGAAAGUGGACGUAUACGGUGUGACGCCUGCCCGGUGCCGGAAGGUUAAUUGAUGGGGUUAGCGGUAACGCGAAGCUCUUGAUCGAAGCCCCGGUAAACGGCGGCCGUAACUAUAACGGUCCUAAGGUAGCGAAAUUCCUUGUCGGGUAAGUUCCGACCUGCACGAAUGGCGUAAUGAUGGCCAGGCUGUCUCCACCCGAGACUCAGUGAAAUUGAACUCGCUGUGAAGAUGCAGUGUACCCGCGGCAAGACGGAAAGACCCCGUGAACCUUUACUAUAGCUUGACACUGAACAUUGAGCCUUGAUGUGUAGGAUAGGUGGGAGGCUUAGAAGUGUGGACGCCAGUCUGCAUGGAGCCGACCUUGAAAUACCACCCUUUAAUGUUUGAUGUUCUAACGUGGACCCGUAAUCCGGGUUGCGGACAGUGUCUGGUGGGUAGUUUGACUGGGGCGGUCUCCUCCUAAAGAGUAACGGAGGAGCACGAAGGUUGGCUAAUCCUGGUCGGACAUCAGGAGGUUAGUGCAAUGGCAUAAGCCAGCUUGACUGCGAGCGUGACGGCGCGAGCAGGUGCGAAAGCAGGUCAUAGUGAUCCGGUGGUUCUGAAUGGAAGGGCCAUCGCUCAACGGAUAAAAGGUACUCCGGGGAUAACAGGCUGAUACCGCCCAAGAGUUCAUAUCGACGGCGGUGUUUGGCACCUCGAUGUCGGCUCAUCACAUCCUGGGGCUGAAGUAGGUCCCAAGGGUAUGGCUGUUCGCCAUUUAAAGUGGUACGCGAGCUGGGUUUAGAACGUCGUGAGACAGUUCGGUCCCUAUCUGCCGUGGGCGCUGGAGAACUGAGGGGGGCUGCUCCUAGUACGAGAGGACCGGAGUGGACGCAUCACUGGUGUUCGGGUUGUCAUGCCAAUGGCACUGCCCGGUAGCUAAAUGCGGAAGAGAUAAGUGCUGAAAGCAUCUAAGCACGAAACUUGCCCCGAGAUGAGUUCUCCCUGACUCCUUGAGAGUCCUGAAGGAACGUUGAAGACGACGACGUUGAUAGGCCGGGUGUGUAAGCGCAGCGAUGCGUUGAGCUAACCGGUACUAAUGAACCGUGAGGCUUAACCUUACAACGCCGAAGCUGUU